AGAGCGAACGCUGGCGGCAGGCUUAACACAUGCAAGUCGAGCGGGCGUAGCAAUACGUCAGCGGCAGACGGGUGAGUAACGCGUGGGAACGUACCUUUUGGUUCGGAACAACACAGGGAAACUUGUGCUAAUACCGGAUAAGCCCUUACGGGGAAAGAUUUAUCGCCAAAAGAUCGGCCCGCGUCUGAUUAGCUAGUUGGUGAGGUAACGGCUCACCAAGGCGACGAUCAGUAGCUGGUCUGAGAGGAUGAUCAGCCACAUUGGGACUGAGACACGGCCCAAAACUCCUACGGGAGGCAGCAGUGGGGAAUAUUGGACAAUGGGCGCAAGCCUGAUCCAGCCAUGCCGCGUGAGUGAUGAAGGCCCUAGGGUUGUAAAGCUCUUUUGUGCGGGAAGAUAAGUGACGGUACCGCAAGAAUAAGCCCGGCUAACUUCGCGCCAGCAGCCGC
Molecule: ribosomal RNA, 449 nt
Filed under: uncultured bacterium
Lineage: Bacteria
Description: SSU rRNA
Rfam family: Bacterial small subunit ribosomal RNA
Source: RNAcentral